ACUCCUACGGGAGGCAGCAGUGAGGAAUAUUGGUCAAUGGGUGAGAGCCUGAACCAGCCAUCCCGCGUGCAGGAUGACGGUCCUAGUGAUUGUAAACUGCUUUUCUAUGAGAUGAAUAAGAAUUACGUGUAGUUCGAUGACCGUAUUAUAGGAAUAAGCAUCGGCUAACUCCGUGCCAGCAGCCGCGGUAAU
RNAcentral lists this ribosomal RNA (192 nucleotides) under uncultured bacterium. RNAcentral's name for it is "partial 16S ribosomal RNA". It matches the Rfam family "Bacterial small subunit ribosomal RNA", at positions 335 to 524 of the family's 1533-position model. The record is from RNAcentral.